CAUAGGUGGGAGAUAAAGUAUACAUACUUACAAGAUAUUUAUUGCAUAGUCAAACCAUGGAUCCAGAGAAACAAGUCAAUAAGUCAAAUCAAGAUGUGCAUGUGUGGUGAAUGAAUGGUGUAUGGUGAUGAUGGUGAUAACAAUGGCGAAAGUCUAAUUCUACUUGUGCUCUUUUGAGGGGAUACAUACCUUUCUUGCUCUUUUGAGACUUUUUGAGGAGAAUGAGAUGCUCUAUAUUUUCUUUUUCUUUCCUCUAAGGUGGGUAUCUUGUACCCCUAAUUCUACUAUCGGACACUUAUCCAUUUUUACGUCUCGUCUUACUUUUUCUUUUCUUUCGAGGUUCCGGGCACUUGCCCCUUUUUAUUUCCUCGUAACCUUUCU
This 381-nucleotide long non-coding RNA is filed under the name Sorghum bicolor (sorghum). Its description in RNAcentral is "long non-coding RNA (SBIC_LNC002514)". The record is from RNAcentral. Lineage: Eukaryota; Viridiplantae; Streptophyta; Magnoliopsida; Poales; Poaceae.